This 453-nucleotide ribosomal RNA is filed under the name uncultured Prevotellaceae bacterium. RNAcentral describes it as "partial 16S ribosomal RNA". It matches the Rfam family "Bacterial small subunit ribosomal RNA", at positions 341 to 792 of the family's 1533-position model. Lineage: Bacteria; Pseudomonadati; Bacteroidota; Bacteroidia; Bacteroidales; Prevotellaceae. The record is from RNAcentral.
ACGGGAGGCAGCAGUGAGGAAUAUUGGUCAAUGGUCGAAGGACUGAACCAGCCGAGUAGCGUGAAGGAUGACUGCCCUAUGGGUUGUAAACUUCUUUUAUGCGGGAAUAAAGUGAGCCACGUGUGGCUUUUUGCAUGUACCGCAUGAAUAAGGAUCAGCUAAUUCCGUGCCAGCAGCCGCGGUAAUACGGAAGAUCCGAGCGUUAUCCGGAUUUAUUGGGUUUAAAGGGAGCGUAGGCGGGCCUUUAAGUCAGUGGUCAAAGCGUGUGGCUCAACCAUACCACGCCAUUGAUACUGGAAGCCUUGAGUGCACAUAAGGAUGGUGGAAUUCAUGGUGUAGCGGUGAAAUGCUUAGAUAUCAUGAAGAACUCCGAUUGCGACGGCAGCUGUCCGGGGUGUAACUGACGCUAAUGCUCGAAAGUGCGGGUAUCAAACAGGAUUAGAUACCCUGGUA